This is a long non-coding RNA of Fukomys damarensis (Damara mole-rat), 868 nucleotides long. RefSeq lists it as uncharacterized. The record is from RefSeq and is a predicted model, not a curated record. The transcript is spliced from 3 exons. Lineage: Eukaryota; Metazoa; Chordata; Mammalia; Rodentia; Bathyergidae.
CCAAGGGCUGCAGAAAGCGUCCACCCCCAGCAUCAAUCAAGCCGGGCAGACCGUCUAGGGGGUGCUCUUUUGGAAAUACAGACUACAGAGCAGACUCCCAGCAGGAGAGGGCGGGUGUGUGUACCCUGGCGGCUCUGCCAGGCAGGGGCCUUUCUCCUGCCAGAGGACCAGUGCCUAGAAGCUGAGAGAACCCGGGGAUUCCCAAAGGCGCGGCCCCUGGCUCCACACUCCCGCCGCCGCUGAGGGCAUUGGCUGCAGGGCCCACCCCUCGGUCCACAGUGCGCUGCUCCGUGUAAAGCCUCGCUGCUCCCCUUGGACCCCCAGCCUGGGGUUACCGCCGUCGGAGGAAUGCUGACGGCACAGCCUACCGAGGCAACUCGGUAAGCACGCGCUUCCCUGGGUGCAGCGAGGUGAGGCUUCCGAGGGUGACCCAGGUUCUGACCCCAACUCACGUCAGGGAGACCCAGACAAAGCUCAGGACAAAGACUUCAGAGAACCAAACUACGGGAAGGAAGCAACACCUCAACUGUUCCUACUGUCAAGGUGCAAGGACACAGGGCAGCUGUCAAACCGCAAGCUACUUCGUGGUCACGUUCCAACAGCACUAUUUGCAACGGUCAGAAGGUGAAAGCGACCCAAGUGUCCAUCCGCAGAUGAAUGGAUACACAAAAUCUUCCAGCCUUAAAAGGGACAGUCUGACAUCGGAAAAAUUUUGAGGACAUUAUGCUAAGAGAAAGAGGCCAGGAACAAAAUGACAAAUGCCACAUGAUUCCAUUUCUGUGCCGUACCAAGAGACAUCAAAUUCACCGAGACAGAAAAUAGAAUGGUGAGCCAGGGCUUUAGCUCAGUGGUGCCGCUACCCACCUUC